UGGGGAAUCUUGCACAAUGGGCGAAAGCCUGAUGCAGCGACGCCGCGUGCGGGAUGAAGGCCUUCGGGUUGUAAACCGCUUUCAGCAGGGACGAGGCCGCAAGGUGACGGUACCUGCAGAAGAAGCCCCGGCUAAAUACGUGCCAGCAGCCGCGGUAAUACGUAUGUCACGAGCGUUAUCCGGAUUUAUUGGGCGUAAAGCGCGUCUAGGUGGUUAUGUAAGUCUGAUGUGAAAAUGCAGGGCUCAACUCUGUAUUGCGUUGGAAACUGUAUAACUAGAGUACUGGAGAGGUAAGCGGAACUACAAGUGUAGAGGUGAAAUUCGUAGAUAUUUGUAGGAAUGCCGAUGGGGAAGCCAGCUUACUGGACAGAUACUGACGCUGAAGCGCGAAAGCGUGGGGAGCAAACAGG
RNAcentral lists this ribosomal RNA (410 nucleotides) under Verrucomicrobiota bacterium. RNAcentral describes it as "Verrucomicrobia bacterium partial 16S ribosomal RNA". It matches the Rfam family "Bacterial small subunit ribosomal RNA", at positions 355 to 776 of the family's 1533-position model. The record is from RNAcentral. Lineage: Bacteria; Pseudomonadati; Verrucomicrobiota.